GAGAUCACUCUCAAAUAUAUUCGAAAAGUCACGUCCCUUUACUUCUAACUCUUUUAAGGGAGAAAAUUACAUUUAGUGGUUAUAUCCGGUGUUGUUGUGGAAGGUUGAUGCUUUGUUCUGGAAGUCCUUGAGAAUCUACCAAACGAAUAAAAGAUGACUUCAGCACCACUUCUCUACAAUCCACUGACGAAAAUGUCAGAGCAUUGGUUCAAUCACCAGUUUACACAGUGUGGUGACCUUGAGCUGGAUUUCUACAGGUGUGUCUCACGAGUCGGUUACGGCCGCUUCCAUUUGAACAAAGAAUGCAGCAUGGAGUAUGAAGACUUCAAAGAAUGUGCAGGCAAAAUAAAACAG
Long non-coding RNA from Octopus sinensis (East Asian common octopus), 354 nucleotides. RefSeq lists it as uncharacterized. NCBI's taxonomy places the organism in Eukaryota, Metazoa, Mollusca, Cephalopoda, Octopoda, Octopodidae. The transcript has 2 exons. The record is from RefSeq and is a predicted model, not a curated record.